This 425-nucleotide ribosomal RNA is filed under the name uncultured bacterium. RNAcentral's name for it is "bacterial SSU rRNA". It matches the Rfam family "Bacterial small subunit ribosomal RNA", at positions 354 to 796 of the family's 1533-position model. The record is from RNAcentral.
GUGGGGAAUAUUGCACAAUGGGGGAAACCCUGAUGCAGCGACGCCGCGUGAGUGAAGAAGUAUUUCGGUAUGUAAAGCUCUAUCAGCAGGGAAGAAAAUGACGGUACCUGACUAAGAAGCCCCGGCUAACUACGUGCCAGCAGCCGCGGUAAUACGUAGGGGGCAAGCGUUAUCCGGAUUUACUGGGUGUAAAGGGAGCGUAGGUGGUUCGGCAAGUCAGAUGUGAAAGCCCGGGGCUCAACUCCGGGAUUGCAUUUGAAACUGUCGGGCUAGAGUGCAGGAGAGGUAAGUGGAAUUCCUAGUGUAGCGGUGAAAUGCGUAGAUAUUAGGAGGAACACCAGUGGCGAAGGCGGCUUACUGGACUGUAACUGACACUGAGGCUCGAAAGCGUGGGGAGCAAACAGGAUUAGAUACCCCAGUAGUCC